AGUCGAACGCUGAAGCCGACAGCUUGCUGUUGGUGGAUGAGUGGCGAACGGGUGAGUAACACGUGAGUAACCUGCCCCUGAUUUCGGGAUAAGCCUGGGAAACUGGGUCUAAUACCGGAUAUGACCAAUCUUCGCAUGAGGGUUGGUGGAAAGUUUUUCGAUCGGGGAUGGGCUCGCGGCCUAUCAGCUUGUUGGUGGGGUAAUGGCCUACCAAGGCGACGACGGGUAGCCGGCCUGAGAGGGCGACCGGCCACACUGGGACUGAGACACGGCCCAGACUCCUACGGGAGGCAGCAGUGGGGAAUAUUGCACAAUGGGGGAAACCCUGAUGCAGCGACGCAGCGUGCGGGAUGACGGCCUUCGGGUUGUAAACCGCUUUCAGCAGGGAAGAAGCGAAAGUGACGGUACCUGCAGAAGAAGUACCGGCUAACUACGUGCCAGCAGCGCGGGGUAAUA
Molecule: ribosomal RNA, 456 nt
Filed under: Brevibacterium sediminis
Lineage: Bacteria; Bacillati; Actinomycetota; Actinomycetes; Micrococcales; Brevibacteriaceae
Description: bacterial SSU rRNA
Rfam family: Bacterial small subunit ribosomal RNA
Source: RNAcentral